GUUUAUUAAGUAUAAUCAAGUAUAUUUAACUUCCAAUUAAAAGGACUAAAUAAGUUAGAAUAAACA
This 66-nucleotide transfer RNA is filed under the name Anaplecta sp. 8 ZQW-2020. Its description in RNAcentral is "tRNA-Gly". Lineage: Eukaryota; Metazoa; Arthropoda; Insecta; Blattodea; Anaplectidae. The record is from RNAcentral.